Small nucleolar RNA from Tripterygium wilfordii, 133 nucleotides. RefSeq annotates it as small nucleolar RNA snoR77. Lineage: Eukaryota; Viridiplantae; Streptophyta; Magnoliopsida; Celastrales; Celastraceae. The record is from RefSeq and is a predicted model, not a curated record. The transcript has a single exon.
AAUCAGCCACUUUGCGUUAUAUAUUGGGGCAAAUGAGGUGUUAUACUGCUCGUAUAUUGAAUUUACUUGGGAUCUUCAGAUUUGCUGAGAAAGAGAUUUCCUUGAAGCUGGUCUAGUAAGCCCCAAGUACAUU